This is a long non-coding RNA of Melanotaenia boesemani (Boeseman's rainbowfish), 350 nucleotides long. RefSeq lists it as uncharacterized. Lineage: Eukaryota; Metazoa; Chordata; Actinopteri; Atheriniformes; Melanotaeniidae. The transcript has 3 exons. The record is from RefSeq and is a predicted model, not a curated record.
AUCCUGCAGGUCAUAAAAGGAUCAGAGUCUCUGCACUGGCUUUAGAGAGAAACAGUCAAACUCUAGCAAUAUUCUUCAGGUCAACAAAGGUCAGCUCUCCAGCCCAGAUUGAGGAGUACAUUACAUUCAGGGAUCUGGGAUGUUUCUGAAUUACUCUUCUAAGCACCCACAAAUCUAUCGUGAUGUGCCUGAAAAUGAACUAAUGCUUUACGGAUUCCAGAUGGAGGUCCAAAAUCAUGACCUGGAGGACUUUCUUCUACUUUCAAAACUUGCUUUUUCUGAGUUAGGCUACUUAAGACCCCAGGCCACCAGGAAAAGUCCUGCUGCUCCCGACUGCCAGUCCGGGCCUG